RNAcentral lists this ribosomal RNA (253 nucleotides) under uncultured bacterium. Its description in RNAcentral is "partial 16S ribosomal RNA". It matches the Rfam family "Bacterial small subunit ribosomal RNA", at positions 524 to 776 of the family's 1533-position model. The record is from RNAcentral.
UACGUAGGGUGCAAGCGUUAAUCGGAAUUACUGGGCGUAAAGCGUGCGCAGGCGGCUUUGCAAGACAGAUGUGAAAUCCCCGGGCUCAACUGGGGAGGGUCACGCGAUACUGUUCGACUCGAAGGCAGGAGAGGGAAGUGGAAUUCCCGGUGUAGUGGUGAAAUGCGUAGAUAUCGGGAGGAACACCAGUGGCGAAGGCGGCGCUCUGGGCCGGAACUGACGCUGAGGAGCGAAAGCGUGGGUAGCAAACAGG